UCCCUUAGUAACGGCGAGCGAAGCGGGAAGAGCUCAAAUUUGAAAUCUCCGGUGCCUGCACCGGCGAAUUGUAGUCUGUAGGGCCAGUUUCGCCCGACGCGGUGUCCCCAAAGUCGUCCUGGAAAGGCGGGCCGGAGAGGGUGAGAGCCCCGUGUGCGGGGGCGCCGCGGAAGGUAAGAUCUGUGCCCGAAGAGUCGGGUUGUUUGGGAUUGCAGCCCAAAACGGGUGGUAAACUCCAUCUAAAGCUAAAUACCGGCACGAGACCGAUAGCGAACAAGUACCGUGAGGGAAAGAUGAAAAGCACUUUGAAAAGAGAGUCAAACAGUACGUGAAACCGUCGGGAGGGAAACGAACGAGGUUGGUGCAGUGAUUGCGCAGGCUCAGGCUCGGCCGAAGGUGCCGUCGCGGUGACCAGAGCGUCCCGUGGCGUCCGCCGGAGGCAGAGCCGUACUCCUCGCGAGCACGGACCAGCGGCGGUCGGAGCGGGGCCACAAGGCCGCGGGUACGGUACGUCGGGUCGGGCUUCGGCUCGCCCGACGACUUAUAGACCAGCGAUCCGGCGUCCCGCUUUGACCGAGGAAGGAGGGCAGCUCUUGCCCGGUGUGGUGCACGCCGUACGGCGGGGCCUCCCGUCGAGGGCGAGUCGCGCUGCGUGGACUGCGUGCAGUGCUCACGGUUGCGGCGGACCCACGGUCGGAGAGCGUCACUUGUGCACCAGUGCCGCUGGUAUUGGGACGGCCUCGUCCGACCCGUCUUGAAACACGGAA
Molecule: ribosomal RNA, 767 nt
Filed under: Dysidea cf. pallescens JV-2020
Lineage: Eukaryota; Metazoa; Porifera; Demospongiae; Dictyoceratida; Dysideidae
Description: partial large subunit ribosomal RNA
Rfam family: Eukaryotic large subunit ribosomal RNA
Source: RNAcentral